CCUACGGGGGGCAGCAGUGGGGAAUAUUGCACAAUGGGGGAAACCCUGAUGCAGCGACGCCGCGUGAGUGAAGAAGUAAUUCGUUAUGUAAAGCUCUAUCAGCAGGGAAGAAAAUGACGGUACCUGAGUAAGAAGCCCCGGCUAACUACGUGCCAGCAGCCGCGGUAAGACGUAGGGGGCAAGCGUUAUCCGGAUGUACUGGGUGUAAAGGGAGCGUAGACGGCAGUGCAAGUCUGGAGUGAAAGGCGGGGGCUCAACCCCCGGACUGCUCUGGAAACUGUACGGCUGGAGUGCAGGAGAGGUAAGUGGAAUUCCUAGUGUAGCGGUGAAAUGCGUAGAUAUUAGGAGGAACACCAGUGGCGAAGGCGGCUUACUGGACUGUAACUGACGUUGAGGCUCGAAAGCGUGGGGAGCAAACAGGAUUAGAUACCCCAGUAGUC
RNAcentral lists this ribosomal RNA (440 nucleotides) under uncultured bacterium. RNAcentral describes it as "partial 16S ribosomal RNA". It matches the Rfam family "Bacterial small subunit ribosomal RNA", at positions 338 to 795 of the family's 1533-position model. The record is from RNAcentral.